GCAUGAUAUAUGUCCGAUGAAGACGGCCCGAACCCGCACAAGCGCCCCGGUCCAGAUCCCCGCCGUCGCUCCCGGAUCCCGGCGCCCUCCUGGCUCCCAUCUCGCAUCGCCCCUGCAACUCAACUCCGGCGGCCCUCCCUCCAUCCCGCACCACCCCUGGCCACCCUCCACCUCGCACCACCUUGCCACUGGCCUACCCUCCCUGCACUGCCCCCUGGCCACCACGGCACCCAGGUCGUUCACCGCCGGCACCACAGUCCGUUCACCGCUGACACACGAGGCCGUUCAACGACGCAAUGAGGUGGGGUAGUUGGAAGGGUGGGGAAGCUCGUUGCCUUGCCGUGGUUCUAGCGGGAGACGGGUGGGCUGGUGUACACAGAGGAUAGAGGCCUUGGCCCUGUACGUCCAGGUUUGUAUCGAUACUCCGGCCAACUCCAUUGAUCUUCUCAGUAAAUGCUCCACUGGUAACUCCAUUCAAAAUUUUGUCAAGUUUGAUUGCCAUGCUCUAGCCUCACAUCACAUUUUGUUCCAGUUCUGCUCAUACUAUAAGUUUGUUAAAACCUACCUAAUAUAUAGCUAAUUCAACAUCCGUCAUUUCUGUUGUAUUUGUGUGCCCACACCCGCAUAUGUUUGUACAAAAAAGAAAAUGAAUGUUAGAGUGGGUGAUUAAACAACUCAAUGUUCUUCUGUUAUUCGAGUAGGCACCUGAAAAAAAAAAGUUCACCUUGGUUAGAUGAACCAAAUGGGCUGUGUAGUUCUUCUGUUAUUUGACGAGGCACCUGAAAAAAACUAAGCAGAAUAAAUAAGAUGGCAGUAACAACCGGGUUGACUUUUUGUAAUUUUCUGUGUAUGAUUGCAGUACUUUUUGUAAGAAAACACAUGGUACUUUGUAAAAAAACACUCCGAAUCUAUUUGGACUGAUCGUCCGACUUCUUUCAUAUAGAAGGUUCAAAAAGUUUUGCUCCUGAAAUUGCACAUAUUUAGAGUAUGCGAAUAUAUUAUGCAUUUCUUAAUUUUGCUCUUGUGUAACAGUUCAACAUGUCUUAUGUCAUCAAUUCAUAAUGAAAAAAGAAGGAAUAGUUCAAAACGUGUGUGUUAAAAACAGAACAGUAUAGAUAAACUUCCGUAUCAGUUCGAUGGAAUAAAUCACAUCAGUUCUGACUCGGAUCGGCUGUUGCCUACAAUGCAUUGAAAAUAAAAUUUUCAAUCAAAUCAAUCUAGUUGUUCUAUAUUGGCUUAAAGUUUUCAUAUCUUUUAUCUUACCGAUGAUGCUUUGAACUGAACAAGAGCGCUGGGUAAUAAGUGUGCCUUUGGUUUAAUACUAAAAGAUCUGUUCGCUGACUUAUAGUAGCAAAAUCUCAUGGAAGUGUGUGCUGGUGGCUUCAAUUAAUUUUACGCUUGCAUACAGGAUGGUGGCAGUGGUGGCGCAGAAUUGGAGAAAGAAAAAGAGGAAAGCCGCCCAAAAAACUAACAUUUUUUCAUGUUUCUCUCUAGCUGAAAUAAAGCAAGACUGAUGUACUACACUUCAUCUCUCUGCACAGCAGGUUCAUGUACAUUGACGACGUCGCCAUGCGUGCACGCUCCAACCUGUCCCGUGUCGCAGCCCCACCACUCGUUGACGAUGCACUCCAACCCCGAGGACCUCCAUGAUGGAGGUCGCCUCGCAGCCUAGAGGCGAGUGUUUGUUGGUUUCUCUUGCAUUUACGGACAUCUUGGGAUUGCUAGGUGCAGAAUCAAGAAGCCCAAUCAUCAUUAGGGAUGAAAAAAAGAGAGAAGCACGGGAAGAGGUACUAGUAGAAGAGGAAGAAGUAAUGUGAAAAAUGAGAUAAAUGUGAGAAUAGCAAGUAGUAAAGCUUGAGAGGGAUUCAGAUUUUGUUUUCACAUUCUUGUUGUACACGUACCUUUGGUCUGUAGAUGCACCGUAAUGGAUCUAGGAAGUAUGAAUGGUUAAUACAUCAAUGGUGCACUAUGCAUCUUUGGCAGGUUUUUAUGCAUUUUUAAAUGGUUGUGGAGCAA
Non-coding RNA from Triticum urartu, 2016 nucleotides. Lineage: Eukaryota; Viridiplantae; Streptophyta; Magnoliopsida; Poales; Poaceae. The record is from RefSeq and is a predicted model, not a curated record.